Molecule: transfer RNA, 58 nt
Filed under: Ipomoea nil (Japanese morning glory)
Lineage: Eukaryota; Viridiplantae; Streptophyta; Magnoliopsida; Solanales; Convolvulaceae
Rfam family: tRNA
About the family: Transfer RNA (tRNA) molecules are approximately 80 nucleotides in length. Their secondary structure includes four short double-helical elements and three loops (D, anti-codon, and T loops). Further hydrogen bonds mediate the characteristic L-shaped molecular structure. tRNAs have two regions of fundamental functional importance: the anti-codon, which is responsible for specific mRNA codon recognition, and the 3' end, to which the tRNAs corresponding amino acid is attached (by aminoacyl-tRNA synthetases). tRNAs cope with the degeneracy of the genetic code in two manners: having more than one tRNA (with a specific anti-codon) for a particular amino acid; and 'wobble' base-pairing, i.e. permitting non-standard base-pairing at the 3rd anti-codon position.
Source: Rfam by way of RNAcentral
AUAGCAUAGUAGUAAUGCAUUCGCUUUGUAAGCGAAAGGUUGUAAGUUCAAUCCUAUU